UUGCUCUUUCAUACAUAAACCCCAUGAAUGCGUCUAUGCACGUAACAACAUCAAACAGCGCAUUACGGACUACAGUACGUCCAGAGAAACAAGACUAGAUUUCGUCGUGUAAGCUGGCAACAUUUGCAUCCCUACUACAACGAGAUAUACGCACCUUUCCGGACAUAGGCCUAGGCUUGGACCACCCGGUUCAAUGACGCCGAUAAGGCAUCAUAUUUCUUUAUCUCUUUAGUCUCCGUUUAUCAAGGGGCAGAUGAUGUGUAUACGCCAACUUGGACUUACUAUGAAGAUUUAAUGUUUUUAAAGGAUCAAGAAGCUAUUAGAACAUCCACCUCGAAAUUACAAGCACAUGAGGCUUGUGACAUUAGUGGAGAGGAAGUCGAUGAAUCAUUGGUAAGUGAUGCAUCAACAAGCAAUGACACAACCCCCACACCUCAACCAACAUCUACCAUCAAGAAAAGGAAGAAACAAACUCCUACAACCGCGAUGGAACAACUAGUCACGGUGAUAGGCGAACGAAUUCAAAAUUCACCGUGGGGGGGCAGAGGACCACCAUGAUCAUUUUGGAAAGAGUUUGGCUGCUAAACUGAAGAAAUUCCCAGCACGCAAAGGAUCUAUGCUGAAAACUCGGGGCCAUAUACAUUGAGUAUACAAGAUACAGGGACAGUAACAUACACAAUCUAGAUACAUGAGAUAUGAUAAAAUAGAAAAAGAAAAUGAAUAAUCGGCACUUAUCCAUAAUAUAGCUGAGGUAGCAUAAAAGCUAGUAAUCAUCAUACUGGUAAUAACAGUAAUAAUAUUGGUGAGAAAAAAAAAAAUGCAUUGCGAGU
Macrobrachium nipponense is the source of this 830-nucleotide long non-coding RNA. RefSeq lists it as uncharacterized. Lineage: Eukaryota; Metazoa; Arthropoda; Malacostraca; Decapoda; Palaemonidae. The transcript is spliced from 5 exons. The record is from RefSeq and is a predicted model, not a curated record.